Gammaproteobacteria bacterium is the source of this 186-nucleotide non-coding RNA. Lineage: Bacteria; Pseudomonadati; Pseudomonadota; Gammaproteobacteria. The record is from Rfam.
UAUCCUCUGCCGUGUUCGACAGCGUGCGCUAACAUACGCCUUGUCCCAUAAACACGACCUGGGAAUCGCGCGCGAUCGCGGUGUGCAUGUCCGCCCUGUUGCGGAAAGCCUGAUGUGAUUGCGCAGGUGCCCACUUGAUCCUAGGGAUCAAGGUCGUUUCGCAAGCAUCGACAUGGCGGAGGAUGC